Molecule: transfer RNA, 64 nt
Filed under: Melamphaus faber
Lineage: Eukaryota; Metazoa; Arthropoda; Insecta; Hemiptera; Pyrrhocoridae
Description: tRNA-Asn
Source: RNAcentral
UUAACUGAAGCCAAAAAGAGGCAUCUUAAUGUUAAUAAGAAAAAUGAUUAAAUAUCCAGUUAAU